UGCAAUAUAGACCCUACUCACCUAUGUCACAAAAUGACGUGUCGCUGUAUCUGGCCGCCAUAUUGUCCGUAUUUUUUAGACCUAUUCUCAUUGUUUUCAGUUAGUCGUGCAAGUUAUAGAGCAAUUCAUGGAAGCCCCGGUGUUAUCUGACGCCGUAAACUCAUUGGAUGCAUUGCAUAAAAGGCGUUAUGUGGAAAAGCUUCAGUUUAUCCAUUCGCCAGAUCCAUAUUUGAUGCCUAAAUCGAUGUUUUUCGACCCACUGUCUUCACCGUCUUUGCCUGACCCUGAUAUUUACAACUAUCUUGUCCACACAAAAUCAGCCUAUUCUCACGAAAGUUUGAAAAACUUUAAGAGCUUGGAGGCUUAUAAAUGCUACGUUGCUGGUUGGGUGAAACAGGUCCUCGUACACGAAAAUUCGGCAGGAAUCUUGUGCUCGGGAAGAUAUGAAAUGACUACUACAUAAUCUGUGGUAGUCGUUUGGAGCCCAGUUUUCUCGUCGAAUUGCAGCAGUCAAUCUCGCUCUCCUCUCCGGGUCUCUCGGAAUACGACAUCAAGAUGUACGCAGGUGAAAUGGAGUCUGUCCAAAGUUUGCACCGAGUUCAGUGGAGCUCUCUCUUUGAUCUUGUUGAUCACGACUUGAGUAGCUUUCUACCAUCAAGUUCUCCUGCCCAGGAACAGAUGGAACUCUCCAAAUCUGACAAGGAUUUUUGAUGCCGUUUUCACCGUCAAGUAGUCACUUCAGCACUGAUGCCGGAUUCUGUAAAGGGCUCCCAAAUCCUCUUGGAGUCA
Molecule: long non-coding RNA, 789 nt
Organism: Corythoichthys intestinalis (scribbled pipefish)
Lineage: Eukaryota; Metazoa; Chordata; Actinopteri; Syngnathiformes; Syngnathidae
Exons: 5
Source: RefSeq, a predicted model, not a curated record